AUGAACGCUGGCGGCGUGCCUAAUACAUGCCAGUCGAGCGAACGGACGAGAAGCUUGCUUCUCUGAUGUUAGCGGCGGACGGGUGAGUAACACGUGGAUAACCUACCUAUAAGACUGGGAUAACUUCGGGAAACCGGAGCCAAUACCGGAUAAUAUUUUGAACCGCAUGGUUCAAAAGUGAAAGACGGUCUUGCUGUCACUUAUAGAUGGAUCCGCGCUGCAUUAGCUAGUUGGUAAGGUAACGGCUUACCAAGGCAACGAUGCAUAGCCGACCUGAGAGGGUGAUCGGCCACACUGGAACUGAGACACGGUCCAGACUCCUACGGGAGGCAGCAGUAGGGAAUCUUCCGCAAUGGGCGAAAGCCUGACGGAGCAACGCCGCGUGAGUGAUGAAGGUCUUCGGAUCGUAAAACUCUGUUAUUAGGGAAGAACAUAUGUGUAAGUAACUGUGCACAUCUUGACGGUACCUAAUCAGAAAGCCACGGCUAACUACGUG
RNAcentral lists this ribosomal RNA (496 nucleotides) under uncultured bacterium. RNAcentral describes it as "partial 16S ribosomal RNA". It matches the Rfam family "Bacterial small subunit ribosomal RNA", at positions 29 to 507 of the family's 1533-position model. The record is from RNAcentral.